Molecule: ribosomal RNA, 520 nt
Filed under: uncultured Glomus
Lineage: Eukaryota; Fungi; Glomeromycota; Glomeromycetes; Glomerales; Glomeraceae
Description: SSU rRNA
Rfam family: Eukaryotic small subunit ribosomal RNA
Source: RNAcentral
CGCAGCCGCGGUAAUUCCAGCUCCAAUAGCGUAUAUUAAAGUUGUUGCAGUUAAAAAGCUCGUAGUUGAAUUUCGGGGUUAGUAGGUUGGUCAUGCCUCUGGUAUGUACUGGUCCCACUGAUUCCUCCUUCCUGAUGAACCUUAAUGCCAUUAAUUUGGUGUUUUGGGGAAUUUGGACCGUUACUUUGAAAAAAUUAGAGUGUUUAAAGCAGGCUCACGCUUGAAUACAUUAGCAUGGAAUAAUGAAAUAGGACGUUUGAUUCUAUUUUGUUGGUUUCUAGGAUCGACGUAAUGAUUAAUAGGGAUAGUUGGGGGGCAUUAGUAUUCAAUUGUCAGAGGUGAAAUUCUUGGAUUUAUUGAAGACUAACUACUGCGAAAGCAUUUGCCAAGGAUGUUUUCAUUAAUCAAGAACGAAAGUUAGGAGAUCGAAGACGAUCAGAUACCGUCGUAGUCUUAACCAUAAACUAUGCCGACUAGGGAUCGGAUGAUGUUAAUUUUUUAAUGACUCAUUCGGCGCCUU